GACGAACGCUGGCGGCGUGCUUAACACAUGCAAGUCGAACGGAAAGGCCCUGCUUUUUUGGGGUGCUCGAGUGGCGAACGGGUGAGUAACACGUGUGUAACCUGCCCUUGACUUUGGGAUAACUUCAGGAAACUGGGGCUAAUACCGGAUAGGAGCUCCUGCUGCAUGGUGGGGGUUGGAAAGUUUCGGCGGUUGGGGAUGGACUCGCGGCUUAUCAGCUUGUUGGUGGGGUAGGGGAUUACCAAGGCUUGGAUGGAUAGCCGGCCUGGGAGUGUGACAGGCUCCAGUGGGAUUGAGAAACGGCCAGUACGCCAACGGGAGGAAGCGGCGGGGACCUGUGCCAAACGGGCGGAGUCCGGAGGGAGCAACGCCGCGUGCGGGAGGACGGCUUUCGGGUUGUAAACCGAGUUCGCCUGUGACGAAGCGUGAGUGACGGAACUGGAGAAAGAAGCACCGCCUAAUUACGU
This 467-nucleotide ribosomal RNA is filed under the name uncultured bacterium. RNAcentral describes it as "partial 16S ribosomal RNA". It matches the Rfam family "Bacterial small subunit ribosomal RNA", at positions 28 to 506 of the family's 1533-position model. The record is from RNAcentral.